This 4185-nucleotide long non-coding RNA is filed under the name Homo sapiens (human). RNAcentral's name for it is "non-protein coding lnc-TENM1-8:1". Lineage: Eukaryota; Metazoa; Chordata; Mammalia; Primates; Hominidae. The record is from RNAcentral.
UGUGAGACAAACCCCAGCCACAUCUCCAGCACACAAGAACUUCCAAACUCCUGAACCGCAGCAGCCAGGCAUUCGUCCAGAACCCCCUCCCCCAGGAGCUUGCUACACAUGCCAGAAAUCUGGCCACUGGGCCAAGGAAUGCCCGCAGCCCGGGAUUCCUCCUAAGCCGCAUCCCAUCUGUGUGGGACCCCACUGAAAAUCGGACUGUUCAACUCACCUGGCAGCCACUCCCAGAACCCCUGGAACUCUGGCCCAAGGCUCUCUGACUGCUUCCCAGAUCUUCUUGGCUUAGCGGCUGAAGACUGACACUGCCCGAUCACCUCGGAAACCCCCUAGACCAUCACAGACGCCGAGCUUCAGGUAACUCUCACAGUGGAAGGUAAGCCCGUCCCCUUCUUAAUCAAUAUGGAGGCUACCCACUCCACAUUACCUUCUUUUCAAGGACCUGUUUCCCUCUAUCGCCAAACUGCCACUCUUAACUCUUGAACUAAAUAAAUAAUCUUUGCUGGCAGGACUAUGCUGAAUCUCCUUAGGCACUCUCUAAUCAGAUGCCCUAGGUCCUCCCAAUUCUUAGACCUUUUAUACCUGUCUUUCUCCUUCUGUUAUUCCAUUUAGUUUCUCAAUUCAUCCAAAACCGUAUCCAGGCCAUCACCAAUCAUUCUAUACGACAAAUGUUUCUUCUAACAUCCCCACAGUAUCACCACUUACCUCAAGGCCUCCCUUCAGCUUAAUCUCUCCCACUCUAGGUUCCCACGCCGCCCCUAACCCCACUCGAAGCAGCCCUGAGAAACAUCGCCCAUUCUCUCUCCAUACCACCCCCCAAAAAUUUUCGCUGCCCCAACACUUCAACACUAUUUUGUUUUAUUUUUCUUAUUAAUAUAAGAAGGCAGGAAUGUCGGACCUCUGAGCCCAAGCCAAGCCAUCGCAUCCCCUGUGACUUGCACAUAUACGCCCAGAUGGCCUGAAGUAACUGAAGAAUCACAAAAGAAGUGAAUAUGCCUUGCCCCACCUUAACUAAUGACAUUCCACCACAAAAGAAGUGUAAAUGGCCGGUCCUUGCCUUAAGUGAUAACAUUACCUUGUGAAAGUCCUUUUCCUGGCUUAUCCUGGCUCAAAAAGCACCCCCACUGAGCACCUUGCGACCCCCCCACUCCUGCCCACCAGAGAACAACCCUCCUUUGACUGUAAUUUUCCUUUACCUACCCACAUCCUAUAAAACAGCCCCACCCCUAUCUCCGUUCGCUGACUCUCUUUUCGGACUCAGCCCGCCUGCACCCAGGUGAAAUAAACAGCCAUGUUGCUCACACAAAGCCUGUUUGGUGGUCUCUUCACACGGACACGCAUGAAACUCUGUUCCUCAAUUCAUUCAUUCUCCCUAGUAAUCAUUUAUUGCCCCCCACCAACAGAAUUUUUCUCCCAUUCCCAUAACCUGCUUUGCCAGAAUCCAAGCCCCCAUUCUUUCAGUAACCUCAAGAUGGUAUAUAAAUUUCUGCACCCCAUUGGGAGUGGAUCUUCAUUUUGAAGGCUCCCAUGUACAUGUUAAAUACAUUUGUAUGUCUUUUCUCCUACUAAUCUGCCUCUUGUCAGUUAUUUUCAGAGAACUUUCAGAGGGUAAAGAAGUUUUCCCUUGGCCCCAACAUUGUUCAGUUACUGAAUACUGAUUAACCAUUCAUUAUAAUUUUUUUAAAAAGACCUUUGUGAAAGAAUAGAAAUAUCCUAAAUACUCACAGUUUGUUUAUUGUGUUGCCAGUGGAGGGUCUUGACUACGAGUUGUCCAGGUCCUUCGCAUUUUAAACAAAUAAUUGAACAAAACGCACUAAGUAGCAGAGGCAUGAAAUGCGGGGAUGAAGCAGCGAAAGCAGGAAUUUAUGAAAUCGAGAAAGCACUCCGCAGGGUGGCAGUGGGCCCGAGCAAGUGGCUUAAGAGCCCAGUUACAAACUUUUCCAGGCUUUAAGUACCCCCUUUGAGGUUCUUAUCGGCUACCCCUUAUCUGGAUGAAAGAUUUGGUCUGUGGCUAAAGGCUGAGGUGAAUUGGUGCCCUAUGCAGAUAAAGGGAUGGUCUCUGGUUGGCCUGCGGCCAGUCUAAGGCACUCUCCUUUCCCAUCUGAGAUGUGGUGGAAGGGGAAGGAUUUUAGGGAGAGUAGCCUUUGAUCCCUUGUUACUAGGCAUGGGGAAAUUGGGUUUUUCUAUUUUGGUUUAGCUUUAAGAAGUUUGUGUUAAUUGGCCUUAGAUUGCCUGCCCCCAGACCCAGGUGUUUUCCUUUUGAUCCAGCUUUGGGAAGUCAGUGCAAAUUGGCCUUAGAUUUCCUGCCCCCAGACCUUGGUGUUAUUUCUUUUAGGAAGUUAGCACAAAUUGGCCUUAAGUUCCCUGUCUCCAGACCCUAUUCUCCUGCCUCAAUUGUACACGUUGAGAUAGACUUCUGAUAUUUUUGUGGCCUAUUUCUCACUGGAGCACACACUUUUAACUUGGUUGCUGUAAACCAAAACUAAAAUUCUAAGCCCCUCAACCAUCUGAAUUGACCUCUCCUCUUGGCCAAGGGAAUUCCAAAGUUAACCUGAAAAACUAGAUCAGGCCAUGAUGGGAAGCUGGGGUUGGAUAUGCCACAUUAUUCCCUCCUCCCUUUUGGAAUUCAGGCACAGCUGACCAGCGUUAACAUUAAAACAGAUCUUAAGACUGACAAAGCAGACUCUUUAUAGCAAUGAGACACCAAAUUCCAGCCUGACUCUAGUAUAGCAUCACAUGAAAGAUACGAGACCCUGAAAUAAGUCAAAGUAUUUUACCCCAAAUAUGUUUCUUUGUCAUAUCUUGAAAUAGUCCUGCAAAGCCAUCUCUUGAGGGGAAAAUAUACAUUCUGAAGAGAAUCAUCUGUCUUUUCCAGGACUUUUUCCUUGUCCAGGAGAGAAUCAACUCUGAUAAGAAACAUUUACAAUCUAUUUUCUCUGAAGCUUGCUACCUGGAGGCUUCCCCUAUGUAACAGGAACCUUGGUCUCCACAACCCGUUAUCUCAAUCCAGACAUCCCCUUCUAUUGAUUCUGGGUUUUUAGACAAUAACUUACCUCUUUCAACCAAUUGCCAAUCAGAAAAUCUUUGAAUCUACUCAUGACCUGGAAGUCCCCCAUUGCUCUGAGUUGUCCCACCUUUCUGUACUGAACUGUUGCAGGAAAAGGGUCCUGAUACAGAUUUCAAGAGAUGGCUCUUGGAUCUUGCACAAGAAAGAAUCUGGGGCAAGUCCACAGAGUAAAAUGAAAGCAAGUUUAUUAAGAAAGUAAAGGAAUGGAAGAACAGCUACUCCACAGACAGAGCAGGGCAUUCUCAAAAGCAAGAGGAGGAACACGCUCACCUUAGCCUUCUUUAGUGGAGUUGAGGCAUUCCACAUGUUCCAUCAUAGCUGAUCCAGAUACAGAAACUACAAAGAAAUACAGUGCAUAUGAAGCAACCCAAGGUCAGGUAAUAUUUCCAAGUAACAAUUUCCUGGACUGUAUUUCAACUCCCAUCUUUUUCUUGCCCUUGUUUUAAGAGCCAAGGAUUUGAGACAGAACACUGAAGAUUGAUUCACAAAGGCAGCACAAUUUGUUUAAAAUUGUGAGAUAUGUAAUUUACGUGAACCUGAUAUUUUAAAGGACUUAGGAGAAGAGAGGCAAGCUUGUGAAUAACCAGGACUUUACCAUGAAGAGAGCAACUCACUGUAUUAAGCAAUAUUUAUUGAACCUACCGUUAAAAGAAAAACCUUAGACAAAUUAAAUUUAGCAGAGUUUAAUUGAGCAAAGAAUGAUUCGUGAAUUGGGAAGCCUCUGAACCAAAAUAGGUUCAGAGAGGAUCCAGCCUGCCUUAUGGUGGAAGAAGAUUUGUGGACAGAAAAAGGAAAGUGAAGUACAGAAAUGGAAGUGAGGUAUAGAAACAGCCAGAUUGGCUACAGCUUGCUGUUUGUCUUAUUUGAACAUGGUUUGAACAGUUGGCUGUCCUCUAUUGGCUAAAACUCAGGGACUGGCACAAGAGUAGGUUACAGUCUGUUUACACAUCAAGUUAGGUUAUAGUUCACUGUGUAUGGAGAAACCUUUAAAAUAUGUAAAGAGGUGGCUUUUGGCUAAACUUAAUUAAACACUACUAUGUGAAACAUUGUGUAAUACUGAAUUCUAUUAUAUUCUUUAAAACCUUUCUUCUGCCUUUUUUUUUUUUUUUUUUUUC